This 422-nucleotide ribosomal RNA is filed under the name uncultured bacterium. RNAcentral's name for it is "bacterial SSU rRNA". It matches the Rfam family "Bacterial small subunit ribosomal RNA", at positions 354 to 777 of the family's 1533-position model. The record is from RNAcentral.
GUGGGGGAUAUUGCACAAUGGGGGGAACCCUGAUGCAGCGACGCCGCGUGGGUGAAGGAGCGUUUCGGCGCGUAAAGCCCUAUCGGCAGGGAAGAAAAAGAGCUGAAGCUCUUGGGACGGUACCUGACUAAGAAGCCCCGGCUAACUACGUGCCAGCAGCCGCGGUAAUACGUAGGGGGCAAGCGUUAUCCGGAUUUACUGGGUGUAAAGGGAGCGUAGACGGCGCGGCAAGUCUGGAGUGAAAGCCCGGGGCCCAACCCCGGGACUGCUCUGGAAACUGUCGUGCUGGAGUGCGGGAGGGGCAGGCGGAAUUCCUGGUGUAGCGGUGAAAUGCGUAGAUAUCAGGAGGAACACCGGCGGCGAAGGCGGCCUGCUGGACCGUGACUGACGUUGAGGCUCGAAAGCGUGGGGAGCAAACAGGA